GUUUGAUUCUGGCUCAGAACGAACGCUGGCGGCAUGCCUAACACAUGCAAGUCGAACGAGACCUUCGGGUCUAGUGGCGCACGGGUGCGUAACGCGUGGGAACCUGCCUUUAGGUUCGGGAUAACUCCUCGAAAGGGGUGCUAAUACCGGAUGAUGUCUUCGGACCAAAGAUUUAUCGCCUUUAGAUGGGCCCGCGUUGGAUUAGCUUGUUGGUGAGGUAAAGGCUCACCAAGGCGACGAUCCAUAGCUGGUCUUAGAGGAUGAUCAGCCACACUGGGACUGAGACACGGCCCAGACUCCUACGGGAGGCAGCAGUGGGGAAUAUUGGACAAUGGGCGAAAGCCUGAUCCAGCAAUGCCGCGUGAGUGAUGAAGGCCUUAGGGUUGUAAAGCUCUUUUGUCCGGGACGAUAAUGACGGUACCGGAAGAAUAAGCCCCGGCUAACUUCGUGCCAGCAGCCGCGGUAAUACG
Molecule: ribosomal RNA, 470 nt
Filed under: Rhodella violacea
Lineage: Eukaryota; Rhodophyta; Rhodellophyceae; Rhodellales; Rhodellaceae
Description: partial Bacterial small subunit ribosomal RNA
Rfam family: Bacterial small subunit ribosomal RNA
Source: RNAcentral